UGGGGAAUCUUCCGCAAUGGGCGAAAGCCUGACGGAGCAACGCCGCGUGAAUGAAGAAGGCCUUCGGGUCGUAAAGUUCUGUUGAAAGGGAAGAAGUCUCUUUAUGUGAAUAAUGUAAAGAGGUGACGGUACCUUUUGAGGAAGCUCCGGCUAACUACGUGCCAGCAGCCGCGGUAAUACGUAGGGAGCAAGCGUUGUCCGGAAUUACUGGGCGUAAAGGGCGCGUAGGCGGGAAAUUAAGUUAGGUGUGAAAACGUGGGGCUCAACUUCACGACUGCACCUAAAACUGGUAUUCUUGAGGACAGGAGAGGAAAGUGGAAUUCCUAGUGUAGCGGUGAAAUGCGUAGAUAUUAGGAGGAACACCAGUGGCGAAGGCGACUUUCUGGACUGUAACUGACGCUGAGGCGCGAAAGCGUGGGGAGUGAACG
This 428-nucleotide ribosomal RNA is filed under the name uncultured prokaryote. Its description in RNAcentral is "bacterial SSU rRNA". It matches the Rfam family "Bacterial small subunit ribosomal RNA", at positions 355 to 774 of the family's 1533-position model. The record is from RNAcentral.